This 275-nucleotide ribosomal RNA is filed under the name uncultured prokaryote. Its description in RNAcentral is "partial 16S ribosomal RNA". It matches the Rfam family "Bacterial small subunit ribosomal RNA", at positions 524 to 798 of the family's 1533-position model. The record is from RNAcentral.
UACGGGGGGUGCAAGCGUUGUUCGGAAUCAUUGGGCGUAAAGAGCGUGUAGGCGGCUGGACAAGUCAGAUGUGAAAUCCCUGGGCUUAACCCAGGAAGUGCAUUUGAAACUGUCUAGCUGGAGUAAGGGAGAGGAAAGUGGAAUUCCUGGUGUAGAGGUGAAAUUCGUAGAUAUCAGGAGGAACACCGGUGGCGAGGGCGACUUUCUGGCCCUAUACUGACGCUGAGACGCGAAAGCGUGGGUAGCAAACAGGAUUAGAUACCCUGGUAGUCCCU